ACAACGCUUUUUUCAGCAGAUUCCUCAUGUCACAAGACGGAUCUCCCCAGUGUCAAAAAUGCAAAAAUUAUGUUUGAGAUUGAGGCUUCAGAUGAAUUGAGGGUUGUGGCUAGGAGAGGGAUGGUGAGCAGGUAUCCAGUUAGGAGUUAUGGGGGGCAGGGGGGUUUGCAGGCAGCAGGGUGAGAAAGGGUGUUUAUUUGUUUAUUUGAGGCCCCCCUCCACCAAGGCUUUUCAGAGGCAUAGCAGAGGCAUUCCCAUGCCUUUCAGCACACAAGGUCAUCGACUGCCAUUUAAUUUUAGGAAUGCCAUUUAGUUUUGCCUUUUUCUAACUCAGGUGCCACUAAUAAUAAAGGCUACAGCCUUGGAAUCAGGAUGAAGGUGGAGCCUGAAGGAGCCAGGCAUACUCAGGAGAGGGCAAGUAGCUGACUUGCUGGCAUUUAGCCCACAUAACUCUGGGCUCAUCCUUUGGUUUUGGUUUUCUUUAUUGUAGCUAACCAAGAAGCUAACAGGCCAUCACAAGGCCCUCGAAGGCAGACUCAUUUCAGGCACAAUGUGGAUUCACAUCACUGAUCAUCCAAAAGAUAAGUCAGGGGCCAUGGGCCAAAGAUGGGAUGAUGGGCAAGUAGCAGGUUGGGAGUUCUUGGGACAGAUUUAAAAAUCAGCAGAGGGAAAAGCAAUCUUCUCCAAGGGGCCUCUGCGGACAGCUAAAGGGAGAGGCUCUACUUUUGAUGGCAGCUUUCAGGCAGGUAGUGCAGAACAGCUCUGGUCUGUCGCGUUGUCCGGUGUACCGUGUUACCUAGUGUGUCUUUGGGGGCCCCUUUUGCCUUUUCCCCUUGAUGCCCUCACCACAAGCAUGAUGUGUCGUGUUUAAUGUCCCCCCGUUUGUCACGUUCUGUGUCACGGGUGUCUGCACGUAUUUGUGCCAGGGCUGCUCUGCCCUGCCGCAUAGCCUGCUGCAAUAGGACAAGCCUGGGGAGUUGAAAUUUGUAAUUUGGGUGUACUUGGGCUCUAGAUGCUAUUCCAAGAUUGACAUAAGGUGUUUGCAUGUUGUGAGUUAUCCUGGUGGUGUUUGACACAUGUUCUAACUUUCUUUCAGGUGCAGAUGCAUUGCAUCCAUGGCAGAGGGUCAGGGUUAGGAGGUGCCGGGCCUUCUUAGGAGCACGCUGUCUGAGAGACACCAGCCUGGUGACAGCAGGACCUUCCCAGCUGACAAGGUGGCCUUUCUUUGUACCUGACAGGGACCGGCAUCCCCCAAUGUCUGAGAGAUAAGUAGAGGGCUACGACCCACAGAGGGGAUGAAAGCAGGGUGCUGGUUUGGGAAUUACUGGGAGGGGUUUCUGAGUCUGCUUUGGAGGUGAGGGGUGUUCAUGAGGUGGCCCCUUGGGCGCCAAAAAAGCAAAGUCUCACUUUUGAUGACAGUGCUGAGGUGUGCAGCAGGGCAGAGCAGCUCCGGUAUGUAUCGUGUCACUUGUCUGUCAUCCAUUAUGUGUUGUUUGUGUAUCUCCUGUCUUUUACCUUAGCCCUUUGAGGGGCCUGUCAGAAACCCUGGCACCAUUCUUAGCAUCCAUGAUCUCAGCAUUCCUUGCCCUGGCACCCAUGCCAUGGAACUUUUGACUGGGGAGCUCAGGCAGGCAUCAGAAAUGCCUCUCUCUUUGGAAGCAUCCUGUCAGAUGUCUUUUCAGGUCUUGUUCUGAGCUGUACGGACAGCUAUGCCCCGCCAGGAUCCAUUAUGGCUGAUUAGGACGUGUAAGAAUGCGAGGUUAGGGAGAGGAUUCUGACUGUAGGAUUCCUAGGCAUCCAUCUUUGCAGUUCUUGGAAUAAAUCAUUCGGUUAAGCAUUGUCUUCCUCCAGGGUUCUCUGAGCCUCAUCAGCUCACCAUCGGUCUGACCUCGGUCAUUUCCUUUUGCAUUCUCUCAAUCCUGGCAGCGAUUUUUCUUACAAAGGGAUUUCUGUCUGUGUCUUGUGCCAUUUGUUUGUCACGUCCUGUCUGUCCUGUGUCAUGGGUGUCAGCACACAUUUGUGCCAGAGCUGCUCUGCCCUGCUGCAUAGCCUGGUGCAAUAGGAGGCAUCUCAGGGACUUGGAAUUUGUAAUGUGGGGUGCAGGUGGACUCUAGAUGGAAUUUGGAGAUGGACACAGGAUAUCUGGAGCCCAUAAGUUAUCCUGCAGCCCUUUGACUUUCAUUCUAACUUUCUUUUAGUUGCAGAAGGAUAAAAUCCAGGGCAGAGCCACCCAUCCUGGGUGAGGGGAUUCCCCCAUGCAGGAAGUCAGGGCAAAGAGCAGCUGUCAAGGCUGAGUGGGCAAGAUGGUCCGCUUGCCAUCUAUCCUAGCCCAGCAUGCCCGUGCCAGGUGCUGUCACUGCCCUAGGCAUGACCAAGGAACAGAGGAGGGCAGGU
Non-coding RNA from Zonotrichia albicollis (white-throated sparrow), 2394 nucleotides. Lineage: Eukaryota; Metazoa; Chordata; Aves; Passeriformes; Passerellidae. The record is from RefSeq and is a predicted model, not a curated record.